GACGAACGCUGGCGGCGUGCUUAACACAUGCAAGUCGAACGGAAAGGCCCUGCUUUUGUGGGGUGCUCGAGUGGCGAACGGGUGAGUAACACGUGAGUAACCUGCCCUUGACUUUGGGAUAACUUCAGGAAACUGGGGCUAAUACCGGAUAGGAGCUCCUGCUGCAUGGUGGGGGUUGGAACGUUUCGGCGGUUGGGGAUGGACUCGCGGCUUAUCAGCUUGUUGGUGGGGUAGUGGCUUACCAAGGGUUUGACGGGUAGCCGGCCUGGGAGGGUGACCGGCCACAUUGGGACUGAGGUACGGCCCAGACUCCUACGGGAGGCAGCAGUGGGGAAUAUUGCACAAUGGGCGGAAGCCUGAUGCAGCAACGCCGCGUGCGGGAUGACGGCCUGCGGGUUGUAAACCGCUUUCGCCUGUGACGAAGCGUGAGUGACGGUAAUGGGUAAAGAAGCACCGGCUAACUACGUG
This 468-nucleotide ribosomal RNA is filed under the name uncultured bacterium. Its description in RNAcentral is "partial 16S ribosomal RNA". It matches the Rfam family "Bacterial small subunit ribosomal RNA", at positions 28 to 507 of the family's 1533-position model. The record is from RNAcentral.